UUGUACAUAAUGUUGCUGCUAACGUCUCUGCUCACCUCAAAUUCUAUGAUUUUUUUUAUUUUAUGAGUCGGAUGGGAAGGAUAUACUCCGAACAACCAAACAGACCCUCAUCCUCGUCAUUCGCUAGAGAAAGAAACUGAGAUUUCAGGGGACGAAUGGCUAAUCUGCCCAUCCGUAGUGUUAGUUAACGUUGGAAAACCUAUAUACAGGGGGUACCGGUACAGAGUCAAUGUGGAGGCUAUAUACAGGGGGUACCGGUACAGAGUCAAUGUGGAGCCUAUAUACAGGGGGUACCGGUACAGAGUCAAUGUGGAGGCUAUAUACAGGGGGUACAGGUACAGAGUCAAUGUGGAGGCUAUAUACAGGGGGUACAGGUACAGAGUCAAUGUGGAGGCUAUAUACAGGGGGUACCGGUACAGAGUCAAUGUGGAGCCUAUAUACAGGGGGUACCGGUACAGAGUCAAUGUGGAGGCUAUAUACAGGGGGUACCGGUACAGAGUCAAUGUGGAGCCUAUAUACAGGGGGUACCGGUACAGAG
This 538-nucleotide long non-coding RNA is filed under the name Salmo salar (Atlantic salmon). Its description in RNAcentral is "lncRNA (ENSSSAG00000105320.1)". Lineage: Eukaryota; Metazoa; Chordata; Actinopteri; Salmoniformes; Salmonidae. The record is from RNAcentral.